CCUACGGGAGGCAGCAGUGGGGAAUAUUGCACAAUGGGCGCAAGCCUGAUGCAGCCAUGCCGCGUGUGUGAAGAAGGCCUUCGGGCUGUAAAGCACUUUCAGCGGGGAGGAAGGCGGUGAGGUUAAUAACCUCAUCGAUUGACGUUACCCGCAGAAGAAGCACCGGCUAACUCCGUGCCAGCAGCCGCGGUAAUACGGAGGGUGCAAGCGUUAAUCGGAAUUACUGGGCGUAAAGCGCACGCAGGCGGUCUGUCAAGUCGGAUGUGAAAUCCCCGGGCUCAACCUGGGAACUGCAUUCGAAACUGGCAGGCUAGAGUCUUGUAGAGGGGGGUAGAAUUCCAGGUGUAGCGGUGAAAUGCGUAGAGAUCUGGAGGAAUACCGGUGGCGAAGGCGGCCCCCUGGACAAAGACUGACGCUCAGGUGCGAAAGCGUGGGGAGCAAACAGGAUUAGAUACCCGUGUAGUC
RNAcentral lists this ribosomal RNA (465 nucleotides) under uncultured Klebsiella sp. RNAcentral's name for it is "bacterial SSU rRNA". It matches the Rfam family "Bacterial small subunit ribosomal RNA", at positions 338 to 795 of the family's 1533-position model. The record is from RNAcentral. Lineage: Bacteria; Pseudomonadati; Pseudomonadota; Gammaproteobacteria; Enterobacterales; Enterobacteriaceae.